This 253-nucleotide ribosomal RNA is filed under the name uncultured bacterium. Its description in RNAcentral is "partial 16S ribosomal RNA". It matches the Rfam family "Bacterial small subunit ribosomal RNA", at positions 524 to 776 of the family's 1533-position model. The record is from RNAcentral.
UACGUAGGGUGCAAGCGUUGUCCGGAAUUAUUGGGCGUAAAGAGCUUGUAGGCGGUCUGUCGCGUCGGCUGUGAAAACCCGGGGCUCAACCCCGGGCCUGCAGUCGAUACGGCCAGACUAGAGUGCGGUAGGGGAGACUGGAAUUCCUGGUGUAGCGGUGAAAUGCGCAGAUAUCAGGAGGAACACCGGUGGCGAAGGCGGGUCUCUGGGCCGUAACUGACGCUGAGGAGCGAAAGCGUGGGGAGCGAACAGG